CAGCAGCCACGGGAAUACAGAGGGUGCGAGCGUUAAUCGGAUUUACUGGGCGUAAAGGGCGCGUAGGCGGUUUAGUGAGUGUGAUGUGAAAGCCCCGGGCUUAACCUGGGAAGUGCAUCGCAAACGACUAAACUGGAGUAUAAGAGAGGGUGGCGGAAUUUCCGGUGUAGCGGUGAAAUGCGUAGAGAUCGGAAGGAACGUCAAUGGCGAAGGCAGCCACCUGGCUUAAUACUGACGCUGAGGCGCGAAAGCGUGGGGAUCAAACAGGAUUAGAUACCCGUGUAGUCCCUGUCUCUUAUAC
Molecule: ribosomal RNA, 301 nt
Filed under: uncultured bacterium
Lineage: Bacteria
Description: partial 16S ribosomal RNA
Rfam family: Bacterial small subunit ribosomal RNA
Source: RNAcentral